This 726-nucleotide ribosomal RNA is filed under the name Streptomyces sp. FXJ1.190. Its description in RNAcentral is "bacterial SSU rRNA". It matches the Rfam family "Bacterial small subunit ribosomal RNA", at positions 56 to 799 of the family's 1533-position model. The record is from RNAcentral. Lineage: Bacteria; Bacillati; Actinomycetota; Actinomycetes; Kitasatosporales; Streptomycetaceae.
UGCAAGUCGAACGAUGAACCACUUCGGUGGGGAUUAGUGGCGAACGGGUGAGUAACACGUGGGCAAUCUGCCCUUCACUCUGGGACAAGCCCUGGAAACGGGGUCUAAUACCGGAUAUCACUCCCGCAGGCAUCUGUGGGGGUUGAAAGCUCCGGCGGUGAAGGAUGAGCCCGCGGCCUAUCAGCUUGUUGGUGAGGUAACGGCUCACCAAGGCGACGACGGGUAGCCGGCCUGAGAGGGCGACCGGCCACACUGGGACUGAGACACGGCCCAGACUCCUACGGGAGGCAGCAGUGGGGAAUAUUGCACAAUGGGCGAAAGCCUGAUGCAGCGACGCCGCGUGAGGGAUGACGGCCUUCGGGUUGUAAACCUCUUUCAGCAGGGAAGAAGCGCAAGUGACGGUACCUGCAGAAGAAGCGCCGGCUAACUACGUGCCAGCAGCCGCGGUAAUACGUAGGGCGCAAGCGUUGUCCGGAAUUAUUGGGCGUAAAGAGCUCGUAGGCGGCUUGUCACGUCGGGUGUGAAAGCCCGGGGCUUAACCCCGGGUCUGCAUUCGAUACGGGCUAGCUAGAGUGUGGUAGGGGAGAUCGGAAUUCCUGGUGUAGCGGUGAAAUGCGCAGAUAUCAGGAGGAACACCGGUGGCGAAGGCGGAUCUCUGGGCCAUUACUGACGCUGAGGAGCGAAAGCGUGGGGAGCGAACAGGAUUAGAUACCCUGGUAGUCCACG